CCUACGGGGGGCUGCAGUGGGGAAUAUUGGACAAUGGGCGAAAGCCUGAUCCAGCCAUGCCGCGUGUGUGAAGAAGGCCUUCGGGUUGUAAAGCACUUUCAGUGGGGAAGAAAGCCUUGGGGCUAAUACCCUCGAGGAAGGACAUCACCCACAGAAGAAGCACCGGCUAACUCCGUGCCAGCAGCCGCGGUAAUACGGAGGGUGCGAGCGUUAAUCGGAAUUACUGGGCGUAAAGCGCGCGUAGGCGGUCUGAUAAGCCGGUUGUGAAAGCCCCGGGCUCAACCUGGGAACGGCAUCCGGAACUGUCAGGCUAGAGUGCAGGAGAGGAAGGUAGAAUUCCCGGUGUAGCGGUGAAAUGCGUAGAGAUCGGGAGGAAUACCAGUGGCGAAGGCGGCCUUCUGGACUUACACUGACGCUGAGGUGCGAAAGCGUGGGUAGCAAACAGGAUUAGAUACCCCAGUAGUC
This 465-nucleotide ribosomal RNA is filed under the name Vreelandella stevensii. RNAcentral describes it as "partial 16S ribosomal RNA". It matches the Rfam family "Bacterial small subunit ribosomal RNA", at positions 338 to 795 of the family's 1533-position model. Lineage: Bacteria; Pseudomonadati; Pseudomonadota; Gammaproteobacteria; Oceanospirillales; Halomonadaceae. The record is from RNAcentral.